This 105-nucleotide non-coding RNA is filed under the name pig gut metagenome. Its description in RNAcentral is "THF riboswitch". It matches the Rfam family "THF (Tetrahydrofolate) riboswitch aptamer". Rfam says of the family: THF riboswitch presents a pseudoknot that joins P1-P2 and the loop of P3 and two THF binding. The record is from RNAcentral.
GAGUAGCCAAGGCGCGUUAAGUGUUGCGAAACGGGACGUUGUUCGCAAACGAAAGAGACGAAAAAUCCUUUUCUUCGGUCUCUGCGGUGCCGCGGCGCGUCCGCU